Long non-coding RNA from Falco peregrinus (peregrine falcon), 1364 nucleotides. RefSeq lists it as uncharacterized. The record is from RefSeq and is a predicted model, not a curated record. The transcript is spliced from 2 exons. NCBI's taxonomy places the organism in Eukaryota, Metazoa, Chordata, Aves, Falconiformes, Falconidae.
AGAAUAUUGGGACAAUUGCUCCAGGCCGCUCACCACCGAAGUCAUUAACUGCACCCCACUGUAAAGGUCAGCCUUGCAGCUCCGGAAGCGUUGUGCAUCCUGCAUCACCCUUACAGAAUGAUUGCAACCACAAAACCUACAGACAUAGCAGGUCUGAACAAAGAAUGCAUUUAUAAGCCAUGAAGGAGACAAACUGAGAGCUGCUGAGAAGGUGAAAAACUGGAAGGGGAUUGUCUGUGAAAGGACCUCUUGAGGUGAGAUCAAAAAGAGUGGUAAAAUUAGAUCCUAGUCUGAAUGAAAGAAAAGAGGGGAAAAAAGGCUGUAGGGCAGAGUGAAACUGAGAUUGGCUGGCAAAGAAACUGAUUGGUAUGUGGAAGAGCAUUGUACUAGAUUUCAAUUGAUCUUGUAGUUUCGCAUUACAGAUUGUGUUGUCAGGUCUAAAGAGGCUUAAACUGAAGCACUUACAGAUCAAUGCUUUUGCCAGCAAGCUCUUUGCUCCCUGUAAAACAGAAUAAUAGGAUCUCAUCACACCUUGCUGAUAUAAUAAAAUUAAUAAUUUUAAAAAGCACUGCAAAAAUGGUGAAACAUAGAAAACUCAGUAAAGUCAAUAAUUCAGUAGUUUCAUCAGAUAAAACUUAAGUAGUGUGCAUCAGAUAAAGUGAUGGCCCACAUCCCUUGAAGCGGGUAAAAUGAUUUUACUGCAGCCCUUUAUCCAUUGAUUUAAUUGUGCUGUGUGCUGAAUUAAGUGGAAACUCUUUCAGAGAAGUGGUAAGUUAUGAUUGCAUCAUAGCAACUAUACAGACCUGGCUCAAACUGCUAUCAGGGAAGCAAACUUAAUUCUUUCAUUUCAGAUAAGCAAGGAACUAUUUUUUCGAAAAAAUCCUCUUCAAAUCGAAGUCGAUGCACGUUUUGGUAGAAAGUUAAUGUGUCCGUGCUUCAGCUGUUGAUGUGUCAGAAUAGAGAUAUAAAAGGAAAGUAGGUUUCCGUGUGGUCCAGAAUGCAAAACCUUAUUUUACUUAGCAGCUAAUGCCCCCAGGUGGCUAGUUAGUGUAUUUGACUGAAAGCCAUAAAAUGCGCUUUUGUUUUACCUCUAGGGAAAUACCUGUUUUCGUGUAAACAUAUUUCCAAGCGUGAAUUUUUAUGUGUGACUUAAAAAAAAUAUAAAAAACUAGUAUAAGUAGAAAGGGCUGAUUCGUAGAGAGGAAUAAAGACCGAAGACAAGCAUACCUAAAAAGAAUAUUUCUGGAGGUCAGUGGAAUACAUUUAUCUAAUUUGUAGGUUAACAGUAAGUCAAUUGUUAAAAUAGAUAAGUAUGAAACAGUGCCAAAGCUCAAGGAAAAAGAAUGAAUUAAUUAUGGAGGAAA